Molecule: non-coding RNA, 29 nt
Filed under: Mus musculus (house mouse)
Lineage: Eukaryota; Metazoa; Chordata; Mammalia; Rodentia; Muridae
Source: RNAcentral
UGAUUUCCACAGCUAAUCCCUAUAGUAAC